This 436-nucleotide ribosomal RNA is filed under the name uncultured bacterium. RNAcentral's name for it is "bacterial SSU rRNA". It matches the Rfam family "Bacterial small subunit ribosomal RNA", at positions 958 to 1382 of the family's 1533-position model. The record is from RNAcentral.
AACGCGAAGAACCUUACCUGGCCUUGACAUCCACGGAAUUCUGCAGAGAUGCGGAAGUGCGUUCGGGAAUCGUGAGACAGGUGCUGCAUGGCUGUAGUCAGAUCGUGUCGUGAGAUGUUGGGUUAAGUCCCGCAAGGAGGGCAACCUUUGUCUUUAGUUGCCAUCAUUAAGUUGGGAAAUCUAAGGAGAUAGAGGGUGACAAAACGGAGGAAGGUGGGGAUGAUGUUACGUUAUGAUGGCGUCUAUCGCCAGGGAUAUACAAGCGUUAUAAUGGCAGGUAAAGAGGGAAGUUACGCUGGGAGCGGGACUUAAUCCAAGAAAGCACUGUAGUAGUCUGGAUACGAGAGUAUGCAACUCCAGUCUGUCAAGUUGCAAUGGCUCGUAAUACGAGAGAUGCGCAAUGCUCGGGAGAAUAAGUUCCAGGGUAUUUCUACGC